GCAAGUACACGUAAAUUUGAUUCAAGCAACUCAAACUUUUUUUUCCUCAAAGUUUCUUUUGGUGCACAAUAGGUCCCCUUCCUUCAUUUCCUUUUGAUUCCGUAAUCAGAAGCUUCAAGCUUCUUCUCCUCUCUGGUCUCGCUGACCACCCAACCUUGACAACCCCAUCCAUGGCUCGCGCAUAUGGAGAGGCUUCGUGGGAGCGAAUACGAAGGCGCGACUGAAGCGCAAUAGAGGUGCGGCAAGAGCUUCUGCGUUUCGCGGAGAGAGCCUCUUCGUGUUGUGACAAGGGUGUUGUUUGGGGAUUUCUUUUGGGUUCUCUGUACUUCAAGCUAACGAUUUUGGGUGGAUGAUUUUGGUUUCCUUUUCUGUAGGUUUUGAUUCACAGCGAAAUCCUCCUCCCCAUUCUGUAGGGUUUUAGUUGUUCAUAAAUUUUUGGGGGUUUCUGUGAUUUCUUCUGAUUUGAGAUAUAGGGUUCAUUGGAAUUGAAUUGGAGAUUUGCAUUUUGUUUCUGCGUAUGAGAUUUAGGGUUUCUGUGAUUUCUUCUUAUUUGAGAUAUAAGGUUCAUUUGGAAUUGAAUUGGAGAUUUGAGUUUUGUUUCUGGAA
RNAcentral lists this long non-coding RNA (606 nucleotides) under Vigna radiata. RNAcentral describes it as "long non-coding RNA (VRAD_LNC007213)". Lineage: Eukaryota; Viridiplantae; Streptophyta; Magnoliopsida; Fabales; Fabaceae. The record is from RNAcentral.